GUGUGGGUAGAUUACGCUGGUUAAAUCGCUAGGCUGUUAACCUUGAGAAGGCUCUUUGCGGCCCCCAAACG
RNAcentral lists this transfer RNA (71 nucleotides) under Opisthorchis felineus. RNAcentral describes it as "tRNA-Asn". The record is from RNAcentral. Lineage: Eukaryota; Metazoa; Platyhelminthes; Trematoda; Opisthorchiida; Opisthorchiidae.